Molecule: ribosomal RNA, 497 nt
Filed under: uncultured bacterium
Lineage: Bacteria
Description: partial 16S ribosomal RNA
Rfam family: Bacterial small subunit ribosomal RNA
Source: RNAcentral
GACGAACGCUGGCGGCGUGCCCAAUACAUGCAAGUAGAACGCUGAAGAGAGGAGCUUCCUCUUCUUGGAUGAGUUGCGAACGGGUGAGUAACGCGUAGGUAACCUGCCUUGUAGCGGGGGAUAACUAUUGGAAACGAUAGCUAAUACCGCAUAACAAUGGAUGACACAUGUCAUUUAUUUGAAAGGGGCAAUUGCUCCACUACAAGAUGGACCUGCGUUGUAUUAGCUAGUAGGUGAGGUAAUGGCUCACCUAGGCGACGAUACAUAGCCGACCUGAGAGGGUGAUCGGCCACACUGGGACUGAGACACGGCUCAGACUCCUACGGAAGGCAGCAGUAGGGAAUCUUCGGCAAUGGGGGCAACCCUGACCGAGCAACGCCGCGUGAGUGAAGAAGGUUUUCGGAUCGUAAAGCUCUGUUGUAAGUCAAGAACGGGUGUGAGAGUGGAAAGUUCACACUGUAACGGUAGCUUACCAGAAAGGGACGGCUAACUACGUG